Molecule: ribosomal RNA, 492 nt
Filed under: uncultured bacterium
Lineage: Bacteria
Description: partial 16S ribosomal RNA
Rfam family: Bacterial small subunit ribosomal RNA
Source: RNAcentral
AGUGAACGCUGGCGGUAGGCCUAACACAUGCAAGUCGAACGGCAGCACAGUAAGAGCUUGCUCUUACGGGUGGCGAGUGGCGGACGGGUGAGGAAUACAUCGGAAUCUACUUUUUCGUGGGGGAUAACGUAGGGAAACUUACGCUAAUACCGCAUACGACCUACGGGUGAAAGCAGGGGAUCUUCGGACCUUGCGCGAUUGAAUGAGCCGAUGUCGGAUUAGCUAGUUGGCGGGGUAAAGGCCCACCAAGGCGACGAUCCGUAGCUGGUCUGAGAGGAUGAUCAGCCACACUGGAACUGAGACACGGUCCAGACUCCUACGGGAGGCAGCAGUGGGGAAUAUUGGACAAUGGGCGCAAGCCUGAUCCAGCCAUACCGCGUGGGUGAAGAAGGCCUUCGGGUUGUAAAGCCCUUAUGUUGGGAAAGAAAAGCAGCAGGUUAAUACCCCGCUGUUCUGACGGUACCCAAAGAAUAAGCACCGGCUAACUUCAUG